This is a long non-coding RNA of Hippocampus zosterae (dwarf seahorse), 306 nucleotides long. RefSeq lists it as uncharacterized. The transcript has 2 exons. The record is from RefSeq and is a predicted model, not a curated record. Lineage: Eukaryota; Metazoa; Chordata; Actinopteri; Syngnathiformes; Syngnathidae.
CGACAAAGAAGCCUGACUUUUAACUCAUUCGCUCCCAAAGACGUCUUUAAACGUCUUUUCGGACUUGGUCCACCCGCAAGGCUGACUCUUCUUUCCAUUGCUGUCACACAUAUGGACAAUCAAACCUCUUUGUUCCACACUCACCUCCAUCACUCAGACCCGUUUGGCCUCUCGGUCCAGGUCCUGCGCCAGCGGAUCCGUCGCUCAAUCCUCCGGCUCCGCCUCCCGCCCCUCCGCCCGGGGCGCCUUGCUCGGCGAACAAGCCGUCAAAGCCCGACCGCUUGGGCUUCUUGUCGUCGUCGUCUC